UAGAGUUAUCACAACUCCAAACCCAUGUGAACAUACCUAUUGUUGCUUCGGCAGGUCGCUGGACUGCCGGGAAAAGCCUCCCCUUAGACGGGGCGGCCUACCCGGGAGGCCAGCGGGCAUGCCUGCCGGUAGCCCUUGAAAACUCUGUUUUAGUAUUGAAACUCUGAAUCUUACUGAAUAAGUUA
This 185-nucleotide unclassified non-coding RNA is filed under the name uncultured Ascomycota. RNAcentral describes it as "sequence contains ITS1". Lineage: Eukaryota; Fungi; Ascomycota. The record is from RNAcentral.